GAUGAACGCUGGCGGCGUGCCUAAUACAUGCAAGUCGAGCGAACAGACGAGGAGCUUGCUCCUCUGACGUUAGCGGCGGACGGGUGAGUAACACGUGGAUAACCUACCUAUAAGACUGGGAUAACUUCGGGAAACCGGAGCUAAUACCGUAUAAUAUAUUGAACCGCAUGGUUCAAUAGUGAAAUACGGUUUUGCUGUCACUUAUAGAUGGAUCCGCGCCGCAUUAGCUAGUUGGUAAGGUAACGGCUUACCAAGGCAACGAUGCGUAGCCGACCUGAGAGGGUGAUCGGCCACCCUGGAACUGAGACACGGUCCAGACUCCUACGGGAGGCAGCAGUAGGGAAUCUUCCGCAAUGGGCGAAAGCCUGACGGAGCAACGCCGCGUGAGUGAUGAAGGUCUUCGGAUCGUAAAACUCUGUUAUUAGGGAAGAACAAAUGUGUAAGUAACUAUGCACGUCUUGACGGUACCUAAUCAGAAAGCCACGGCUAACUACGUG
RNAcentral lists this ribosomal RNA (497 nucleotides) under uncultured bacterium. Its description in RNAcentral is "partial 16S ribosomal RNA". It matches the Rfam family "Bacterial small subunit ribosomal RNA", at positions 28 to 507 of the family's 1533-position model. The record is from RNAcentral.